AGAAUGAAGGUGUAGAUGACUUGAAAAGACGUCAAGCACAUGGUCUCCUUAACUACUUUCAUAGUUUUGAUUUUGUGUUUUAUUUGCAAAUGAUGAUACACCUUUUAGGACUCACAGAGAGCUUGUCAAUGGCGCUUCAAAGAAGAGAUCAAGAUAUUUUAAAUGCUAUGUCAUUGGUGAAAUCAACUAAGAGACAACUUCAGAAUUUUAGGGAUGAUGGGUGGAAUUCUCUCAUGAUGAAAGUUUCUUUGUUUUGUGACAAACAUGAGAUUGAAAAGAUUGAGAUGGAGGCAGAUUUUAUUGACUCAAAGAGACGAAGAAAAAGAACAGGAGUAUCAAAUAUGCAUCACUACAAGAUCAAUUGUUUGUAUGCUGUAUUGGAUUUGCAACUUCAGGAAUUUAACGACCGCUUUAAUGAGGUGAACACUGAAUUGCUUAUUUGUGCUGCUUCUUUAUCUCCCAUUGAUGCAUUUUCUCAGUUUGAUCACUCCAAGUUAUUGAGGUUAUCUAAGUUCUACCCAGAUGACUUUAGUUCAGGGGAGUUCAUAUCUCUGGAGCAAGAAUUAGAUAUCUACAUUGAUAAUGUCCGACAUGAUGAAAGAUUUUGUACUUUGAAGAAUUUGGGAGACCUUGCUCGAAUGUUGGUGGAAACACGAAAACAUCUGUCAUGUCCUUUGGUUUAUAGGCUUUUGAAGUUGGUUUUGAUUUUGCCUGUUGCUACUGCAACUGUUGAGAGAUGUUUUUCAGCAAUGAAGAUCGUGAAAACACAUCGACGCAAUCGGAUUGGAGAUGAGUUUUUGAAUGAUUGUUUAGUUUGUUUUGUCGAGAAAGAUGUAUUCGAGACUAUUACAAAUGAGACUGUGAUGAAAAGAUUUCAGGACCUGAAGGAUCGUAGGAUGCUUUUGUAGACGUUUUUUUUUUUGGAUGAACCUUUUGUUGGAUGCUUUUUUUUUUAUUGGGACGAACUUUUUGUUGGAUUUUUUUUGUAUUAAAAAUAAUUUUUUUAAUUAUGUUUUGACCUGGGUAAAAUAAAAUCCUGGGUCCGCCACUGUUACUAUUGGUCCAUUCUCUGUAAUACUUUUUCGAGUUUCCUUUUCUCUAUCUUAUGGUUUUGUUGCUUUCACACAUUAUUAACACAUCCCAAAACAACGUUGAAACUUUUACGACUCAUAAGAAAAAGCAACACAACAUUUAUUAGAUAUCAUCAUCUGUAUUUUCAUAGUCUAAUACAUGUAUAUAAACUUUACUUGUAUUUGAUUGUUAAUACAACUACUAUAUAAAGCUGUUGUAUAGUUACUUUACACAUUAUCGAGAAUAAUAAAGUUUAGAUUUAAUAUGGUAUCAGAGCCAGGUUUUGCAAGCAAGUAAUCCGGUUGUUGCAAGUAUAUCUAAGGCAUAUUUCCUUUGGCAAAUAGAUAUACCUGUGGAGUUUCUUGCUAUCUCAAGACCCAAAAAAUAUUUUGGUGCACCCAUGUCCUUGAUCUUGAAUGCUCUAUGUAAGGAUGCCUUCAGUUUCUGCAACUCAACAUCACAAUUUGAAGCUAUCAUGAUGUCAUCAACAUAGACAAGGAGAGCAAUGAAUGAACAACCCGAGACUUUUACAAAUAAGGUAUUGUCUGCUGGGGAUUGAAUAAAUCCUGCUUGAAGAACCACUGUGGAGAAACAAUGAUACCACUGUCGUGAAGCCUGCUUAAGGCCAUACAGUGACUUCUUUAAACGACAAACUGGAUUCAAAGGCAAAGAAGCACCAUUUGCAGGAGUAUAACCUUGGGGUAAGCUCAUGAAUAUCUCAUCAUCUGUAUUUUUAUAGUCUAAUACAUGUAUAUAAACUUUACUUGUAUUUGAUUGUUAAUACAACUACUAUAUAAAGCUGUUGUAUAGUUACUUUACACAUUAUCGAGAAUAAUAAAGUUUAGAUUUAAUAACAUUCAUCUACCAUAUCCUUAUUAACUUACGAAUAGAAACAUAGUUUCCCCCACCAAUUUUGAAGAGUUGCUGGAUAUUGUUGUGACAUAAGAAGACAUCGUAUUUAGGAAGAAAACAGAGGGUCAAGUGUGAAAAAACAGUGGGAAUUUAGGGUUUUGGGAAAGUGUGGAAAUUGGAGACGUCAGAUGAUCAAGGCAGUUGAUCUUGUGAAGGUCUUAAUUGAAAGUUUACAUGUUAUUUAUGCUGUUAGUUUUUCUAAUGAUCAAUUAAAUGUAGUUUUAAUAGUUUAGUGAAUACUAGUGAUGAACUGAUGAUAUGUCAUGGGAGGAUAAUGCACAAAGUGGUGACUGGUGAGCGAAGCAUUAUUUUACUCAGGAAGACAAAAUUUAUUUAAAUAAAUGAUACCAACGAAUCCAGAUACGCGCGAAGAGCUAUUGAAUAUGGAAAGCACGAUCAUAAACAAUUCUGCGGUUUAUUAUUUCUUAUUAUGUAAAAUAUACAUUAAUAUAGGAAAAAAAUAAACGGUUUUGCAUGGUAUAUUUGCAUAAAAAUGAAUUGGUAAGUAGAUUGUACAAAUAGAUUCCUUUUUUUUAUAACAAAACUCAUGAGAGAAAGAGAAGAAUAUAUAUAUACUCUAAGCAUUCCUCUAAAGUUUACCAACAAAAAAAUACAAGUAUUCGUCAAAAAAAAUUAUUUUCUUCUAAUUCCACUUGAUUACUCCUACUCUUUUGAGUUUUUACGAGUAAAAAUCUCUUAAAAAUGAUAUCUUUGUGGUGCAAUGUAAAUAUUAUUUUGAACAAAUUCGUUUUAUGUUCUUUUCAAAUCUUCAAAUUCAUUGCGUUUACAUGUUUAUUUAAUUUUGUUGCAUGUCACACAGUAGUAUAAUCCAACUCCUCUGUUUUUACGUAAGUUUUUUUUUAGUUGAUUUUUGUCGGACUUUAAGAGAGAGAGAAAAGUGGCGUCUUUGUGGACUUUCUCAAUUGAGGAGAGAGAAAGAGAGAGUCAAAAGAAGGAAGAGGUUUCGUUUACUUGCUGCUGUGAAAAAGCUCGAAACUUUCAUCUCUUUCUUUUAUUGGGUUUUUGAUCAGCUUUUGAAAUCCGGAGAAAAAUAGUAUUUUUCUUGAAAUCGAAAUCUGAUCUCCAUUGAGAGUCUUGCUGCUUGAUUUUGAUUCCGAUUAAGGUCUUCUCGAGAAUCUUUUGCUGCAGUUACUAGGUUUUGACGAGCCGUUGAUCUGGACGGAGUUCCAGAUCUCCGGGUCGUGGUAGCAAGGAAUUAGGGUUUUAGCACAAAGUUCUUGUUUUCUGUGGAUUCGAGGGAUGGACAAGUUUUCGGGUCGAUGUUCGCUGCUCUAACAUUUGGAGUAUGAAGAUGAACAUGAAGAAAUUUCUUAAAAAGCUGCGUAUCACGCCCAAUCAACGAGACGAUGGUGAAGGGUCAGUCUCAAACAGAAGCAAUAAGUCUAGUGAUGCAGAACCAUCUCCUUCAGAUUCAUUGAGGUCUCAAGAUAACACUGAAUUCAAACCCUUUUCGGGUUUAUCAAAUUGGUUCAGCUCUGUUGCUCACAGAAAAAGCCCUUCUUCUUCCAAUGCCACCAAUAGCAAAGAGGAUGAAACUACCAUGGAACAUGGUGGUCCCGUUGGGUCGGAAUCUGGGAGGAUGCAGGGUUUGGGUUCUAGUAAUUCCAAGGAUCCAGAAGUUGAAGAAGAAUAUCAGAUACAGUUGGCUCUAGAGUUAAGUGCUAGGGAGGAUCCUGAAGCUGCUCAGAUUGAGGCUAUGAAGCAGUUCAGUUUAGGUUCUCGUCCUUCUGCUCCCGAGAAUUCUCCUGCUGAACUCAUGGCAUAUAGAUACUGGGUGAGUUUUUGACUCAUUGCCAGAUAUAGAAACAAUUCCCAAGUCACUUGAGCAAUAAUAGACUGUGCUUGAAACAAGAAGUGUUAAGUUGAUUACUGACCAUAGAAUUCUAGUAUUGUGUGUCAAUACGAGAAUCCACCUAGAGACAUUUCGUGACUAAUAGCUCUUCUCUGUCUCUUCUAACCAAUUUUAUAUCUCUGGAAUUUUGCAGAAUUAUAACUGUCUUGGCUAUGAUGACAAGAUUGUGGAUGGUUUCUAUGACCUGUGUGGAGUAAUGAAUGAAUCUUCCUUAGAAAGAAUACCUCCCUUAGUUGACCUUCAGGGGACACUUAUGUCAGAUGGUGUAACUUGGGAUGCUGUUCUAGUGAACAGAAGCCAAGAUUCGAAUCUGUUGAGACUUGAACAAAUGGCUCUUGAUAUUGCAGCAAAAUCAAAGUCAGCAUCUUCUUCAGGGUUUGUGAACAGUGAAUUGGUACGGAAACUGGCAGUUUUAGUUGCAGAUUACAUGGGUGGACCAGUUGUGGAUCCAGAUAGCACCUUAAGAGCUUGGUGGAGUCUGAGCUACAGCUUGAAAGCAACCCUCCAUAGCAUGGUUUUGCCCCUGGGUUCUCUAACUAUUGGAUUGGCUCGUCAUCGUGCCUUGUUAUUCAAAGUAUGUACCCUGCCCUCUAUUACUUUUGCUUUGUGUAAAAAUUAGCGCAAGAGGGGCAUUUUUUGUAAUCUCGUGACUGUUAAAGCUUCUUGCUAGUUUGGUGCAUGUUUGAAACUUUGUGCAAAAUGCCCUUGUUUGUCUGACUAUCUUUAUUACAUACAAAGCGUAUUGCACCUCUAAAACGCAGUUUGGUGUUUUGUCUCUUCUUUCUUAUGAGACUUUGUAGGUUUUGUGUGAUAGUGUCGGUGUUCCUUGUCGAAUAGUCAAAGGACAGCAGUAUACCGGUUCUGAUGAUGUGGCAAUGAACUCCAUUAAGACUGAUGAUGGCAGGUGACUUUCAAAUUAAAAAUCAAUCAUUAUGUAAUUUCAACAAUUUUCUCUAUCAUUUGUAGAGAAAAAUGUGUAUAUAUAUAUAUAUAUUUGGUGAAAUAUGUGGAUAUAGACUUGGGGUGUGUGUUAUAGCUAACUCACAUCUCUGAAAAGGUUAAAGCUAUUACUGAGGCUUGAUAAAAGUGUAAUUUUCUUUGGUCUAAGCAACAAUGCUGUUUAGAACUGAAAGCAGGAUUUAGCAUGUUUCAUGCUUGUAUUGUGGUUCUUUCUACUGUUAUUGCAGUCUGCAGUUGCAUAGUAUUUUCCCUAACGAAUCCAAAUGUGAAUUUCAGGGAGUACAUUGUUGAUCUUAUGGGAGAUCCAGGCACGCUUAUCCCCGCUGAUGCAGCUGGACUACAGAUGGACUAUGAUGAUUCUGUCUAUACUGCCAGUCCCAGAGAUGUUGAUUCAUCUCAUGUAGCUUCUUCCAGCAGUGGGGUUGAGAGCUCAAUUGAAGAACACGCAGAAUCUUGGUCAGCGGAACAUCGUUCUAAGACCAAGGGUUACCGGGAGGAAAACCAAUCUGCAGGUGGAGGGGAUCUCAUGAUUCGUCCAAAUAUUUUUAGGGAAUUUGUGGGAAGUCAAAAGGCUCCUGUUCAACAUCAUUCCAGCAAGCCUACUCAUUCUUUCACUCAUGCCAGAUCACCUUCGUGGACUGAAGGUGUUAGCUCUCCAGCUGGACGCAGGAUGAAAGUCAAAGAUGUUUCACAAUAUAUGAUCGAUGCUGCCAAAGAGAAUCCACAACUAGCUCAGAAGCUUCAUGAUGUGUUACUUGAAAGUGGAGUUGUAGCUCCUCGAAAUUUAUUUUCGGAAGUCUAUUCAGAGUCAAUGGAGGCAACAGGUGAAAUCAAAUCUGUGGCUGAAUCCAGUGAUGAGAAAGGGAAAGAUUUUGGAACAAUCCAGCAAGGAAGAAACCAGAGCAAUAUUGGCCCUGUGAGGUUUUUGCCUCCUCUUCCAAGACCGCAAUCUAAAGCAUAUACCCAUGACCUACGUGAACAUUCAGGACCUGGACUCGGUCAUUUGUCCCAUCAUUGCAAUAUUGAUGGUCAGUCUGAUUCGUCACAUUCUGAAACAUCUACUGAUUAUCCCAGAAAUGUUCCUGUUGCCGUAGCUGCAGCGGCUGUUGUUGCAUCUUCUAUGGUUGUUGCUGCCGCCAAGUCAGCAAACUCGGAUUCCUCCACUUUAGAACUUUCUGCUGCAGCUGCUGCUGCAGUUGUGGCGACAGCUGCAGCAGUGAGCAGGCAGCUUGAACUAGAUUCACUUAGCAACGGGGAUGCUGGUUCUGGUGGGAUUCAUGGGGUAGAUUCAGGAGGAGAACGAAUAUCCGACAGAUCUACUGGCAAUGAAAGUUCAAAAUCUGAUUCUGCAAUUGAUGAUGUGGCUGAAUGCGAGAUUUUGUGGGAGGAAAUUACUGUGGCUGAGCGUAUCGGACUGGGUAUGUGUUGUACUAUAGGCUUUAGUGUAACUAGUGCUACGACAAAAAGUAUUUAGAUUUAUCUUAUUUGAUGCAGGAUCAUACGGAGAGGUGUAUAGGGGAGAUUGGCAUGGAACUGUGAGUAUCUCAUAUUUCUUUAGCUUAAUACAGUAUCAUUGUAGCUUACUAAUUGGCUGGCAAGGAGAGAAACAUGGUAAUUUUUUGCUUAUUAUUUUCAUUUUCAAUAUCAAUGAAACUCUUGAUUUGGUAGGCAGUGGCUGUCAAGAAGUUCAUUGACCAAGAUAUUACAGGAGAGGCACUGGAGGAAUUCAGAAGUGAGGUAUAAGCGUUUCCUUCUCUGGAAAUUCUUGUACCCUUUCAAGUUUCAAACAUUAAUCGCUAAGUGACGGAUUCGUAACAUUUCACUUCAAUUCGAUGCAAGGUCCGGAUGAUGAGAAGGCUCAGGCACCCUAAUAUUGUUCUCUUCAUGGGAGCUGUAACCCGCCCACCAAAUCUCUCAAUUGUUACAGAAUUUCUUCCUAGGUAUGCUAUGAUCCUUUUCAUUAUUUAAUUGUUUUCAUGCCAGAUGAUUUAUCUAACUACCCCUGUUCCAUCCAUUAGUGAGCAGAGCUCAGACUCAUCAGUCUCUUUUCUGUGUUUAUUAACCAAAUUUUUUUUUUGCUUGCGCAGAGGUAGCUUGUAUAGGUUAAUCCACAGGCCUAAUAACCAAUUAGAUGAGCGAAAGCGUCUGAGGAUGGCUCUUGAUGCUGUAUUAUUACUGAUUUCUCUUCCACUCCUUUUUUACCUCUACUAUCUAUUUGUAUCUUCUUUAUUGUUUCUUACAAAAAAAUUUCCAACCUAUGUAGGCUCGUGGAAUGAAUUAUUUACACAGCUGUAAUCCGGUAAUUGUCCAUCGUGAUCUUAAAUCUCCAAACCUUCUAGUUGACAAAAACUGGGUUGUCAAGGUCAGUAAUUCUUCCACUCCGAUUUCAUUUUCUCUUCUAUGAUAUCUCUAAUGGCUUACAUAUUUCUCAGGUGUGCGAUUUUGGGUUGUCUAGAAUGAAAGUAAGCACAUACCUCUCUUCAAAGUCAACAGCAGGCACGGUAAGCUACUGGAAGAAAUUCACUGUUCUCCACUAGGACAGUUAAUGUCAACUAAAACAAUCCAGUUAGAUUACCUCAUGUCUUACUUUCCAGUUCAUUGAUCUAAGCUAGGAGGCUUGAUUUUGUGUUUGCUCAUUUCAGGCCGAAUGGAUGGCUCCUGAAGUACUUAGAAAUGAACCCGCGGAUGAAAAGUAGGGUUUUUCUUAAGCUCUUUACCAAAAGCAACUUGCUUCUAAACUUAUUAUCUCUUCCCAUGUAAUGUUCCCUAUUAAGACGAGGUACAUAAUGUGAAAACAGGUGUGAUGUGUAUAGCUAUGGAGUCAUUCUGUGGGAACUCUUUACGUUACAGCAACCAUGGGGGAAAAUGAACCCAAUGCAAGUUGUUGGUGCGGUUGGGUUUCAACAUCGAAGACUUGAAAUCCCUGAGUUUGUUGAUACUGGAAUUGCAGAUAUCAUCAGGAAAUGUUGGCAGACGUAAGUUUGAUGUAUAGUGAUGAUGAUUAUUAUAGCUCUCUUGUUUUCUCGAUGAAUUAAAUUAAACUCUGGUCUGUAAUGGGUUUAUUUAUCUGGUUUUGGUAGGGAUCCAAGGUUAAGACCAAGUUUUGCAGAGAUCAUGGCUUCUCUAAAGCAGCUACAGAAACCUAUGAUGGGUCCAAACAUCCAGAGAGCAACAGUUCCCAGUUCUUCUGCGUUGUUGACCACUGAUGAGCAGGAACAAUAACAUGAUGCUUGAUGAAGAAGAUGACUAAAUGAUGAUGAUGGUGGGAUCAUUCUUUACAUAUUAUAUGUUCUGUGGUGUGCUUGUUCAUGUGUCUUCACCAUGUUUUGUUUACAAAUUGUAAAAAAAGAUAAUGCAAAACAAAAAAAAAAAAAAAAAAAAAAAGGAAAAGGAGAAAAAAAGAAAUUAAUUUGUCAAUGAUAAAAAUCGUUGAGAAUUGAACUUUCAUUUCUCUUACAUACGAAAUUCAAGUAAAAGUUGUUCAUCUACUACAACUAAUUCACUGUUAUUUUUUUUUUUUUUAAUUCACUGUUAUUUCAUGGCGCGAAUUUAAUAUUUCUGUUAAUUAUGAUUAUAUCGUCGUUACUAACAAUAACCAAAUAAAGUCGAAUAAAUUCGUUGGCCUUCUUUCUUGAAACAUGAUCAUCACACGAACAAGAUAGGCCUUUUAAUAAGGGAAACCAAAAGGAGUAAUUAGAGCCCUGAAAAUGGCGAAUUUAUUCACUGCUACGGCUCCUUUCCUCUCACUCUCAAAGCCGUUCACCAAAACGGCACCGUACCACCAGUGUUGUGCCUCUUCUUCCAAUCCGCCGGAGCCUGAGUCGUCUUCUUCUUCUUCUUCUUCUCCUUCUCCUCCUCCUCCACCUCAACCGCAACAGAAGAGGAAGAAGACCGUCGAGACGACGGAUUGGGUCGCUUCUUCCUUGACUCGGCGGUUCGGAAUCGGGGCUGGUCUUGCCUGGGCGGGCUUUCUGGCUUUUGGUGUAAUCUCCGAGCAGAUCAAGACUCGGAUUGAGGUUUCUCAGGAAGUAGCUAACACCAGGUUUUAAUAAUUCACAUAUAUCCUUUGCAUUUUUUGAAGAACUUUCAUUACGAAUUGGCGAUCACAAAGAAAAAGUUUUGGAUUCUAUAUAAUCAUAAGUUACCUGAAGUUGUUUCUUUUGUGGGGUUUGCAGAGAUGUAGAAGAAGAGAAAGAGAUUGUGUUACCCAACGGCAUAAGGUGCAAUGUGCCAUUAACUAGAGCACAAAUGUUGAAUGAUUUUCAUCCAUGGAUACAGUUUAAUUCCCUGCUUAAAAGUUAUAUAAGAAAAGCUCUGUUACUGAAUAUUGAGAUAUAAUCACCAUGUAUGUUUUCUCUGUGGCCCUUUUUAGUACUUGAGCUUAUUAAGACAUUGAAACUAUUGAUGUAGCAAAUGUGUCUCCUUUCCUUAUCUACAGACAGCUCUUGAAUUUUUUUUUUUUUUUUUUUUUGUGUAUGAGCUUUUUAAGCCAUUGAUGUAGCUAGCAAUGUGUCUCCUUUUCCUUAUGUACUGAACAAUAUCAAACAUUCAUAACAAAACAGAUAGCUCUUGCAUCAGUCACUGAUCUAAUGGAAUCGGACCGUGCAGGUACUAUGAUAUACGGGUUGGAGGAGGAGCGACACCAAGGGCAGGAGACUUGGUAGUGAUUGAUCUAAAGGGGCAAGUGCAAGGAACCGGACAAGUAUUCGUGGACACAUUUGGAAGCAAAGGCAAGAAGAAGCCAUUGGCCCUUGUGGUGGGUUCAAAACUAUAUAGCAAAGGAUUAUGUGAAGGCAUAGAUUAUGUACUAAGGUCCAUGAAGGCUGGAGGUAAACGCAGAGUUAUUGUUCCACCAUCGUUAGGAUUUGGUGAAGACGGUGCUGAAUUGGAAUCGGGUUUGCAGAUUCCUCCGAAUGCUUCGUUGGAGUAUAUAGUUGAGAUUGAUAGAGUCUCAAUUGCACCUGCUUGAGUUGUGUUUCAAUGCCAAAUCCUUCAACUGGUUGUAUAAGAGAUUAUGAGUGGAAAAUAAAAUAAACUUGUCUUUUGGGGUCGAAUGUUUAUAAACCGAGAUAAACCGGAUCAAAAUCUUCGGUUUGAUUUUCUUAUGUUUACAUAGAUAUAAUAAAGUUACGUAAAUGUAUUUCUGUGGUUUAUACGUAAUGACGACUUUGAUGAAGUCUUAGCCAAAAUUGCGAAGAAAAUUCUUUUAUUCGCUGGAUUUCUCUGUGAACGAGGAAAGGAACACGAUUCUUGUCAAUUAACGUUGUUUUUUUUCUCUUUUUUCCGGCGGAAGCGAAUUGCUGAUUGCUGUAGAGAAUGGUGAAAGUAAUCGAUUCCCAUUACCUAGCCAUCACCGCCAUUGUCACCGUGAGUCUUUUUGGUGCAAUCGAUUCUUUUGUGGUUCUCGAGAAAUCAAGAGUUGGGUUUUCUUUUGUAGGUGGGUUAUCAAUUGAUAUUCUUCGUAAUCACAGCUCUUUUCAAAUUUGAUCAAGUUACAGACUUUGCCGGUACGAUGAUCUAACUUGGAAAUGCUCCCUUUGAUAGUUUCGUGUUUCGUAAUUCUUCUUUCGAUUGUGAUCACAAAUGUAUAGAAUUUUAUUUCCUUCAUUUUUGCUAACGUAUUAUGACUCACACAUGUUGUCAGGAAGUACUAAUUUCGUGAUACUUGCUGUCUUGACUCUGGUUCUCAAAGGGACAUGGCAUUAUCGUCAGGUAAUAAGAUCCUCACCUCUCUUUCUCUAUGUGUGUGGUUUGUAUAAUUGUCUCAGCUCUUUAAUCUCCCAGAUAGUCUUGACUGUACUAGUAGUCGUAUGGGGACUUCGUCUCGGACUGUUCCUCCUUAUGAGGUUUGCACCAUGAACACCCCCCAAAAUCUUUAUGCAUUUGCAACUAUUGUGUGAGAGAAAAUAUAUAGUACUUAAUGAAGUUUUCUAGUCAUGUCUGAUGUAUCUAUUUCAUUCUAUCUAUGAGUAGGAUCUUGCAAUGGGGUGAAGAUCGACGCUUUGAUGAAAUGCGUGGAAAUAUCGGGAAACUAGUAGUCUUUUGGAUUUUUCAGGCUAGCUACUACAAACUUUGGUUUUUCAUCUUUAGAAGACAGAGAAGAAAGUAGCUCAGCUCAGCUAAGCUAAAUUCUUGUGAUCUAACACCAUGUGGGUUUUUGUUCUUUUUUCUCUACCAGGCCGUGUGGGUUUGGACUGUUAGUUUACCUGUUACCUUUGUUAAUGCAAGCAACGGUGGAAGAUUGUUUCAGCCCGCAGAUGUUAUAGGUUGGACAAUGUGGGUUGCAGGGUUCUUGAUUGAAGCUACAGCUGAUCAACAAAAACUUUCAUUCAACAAGUGUCCAGAAAACAAAGGAAGAUGGUGCGAUGUUGGUGUAUGGAAGUAUUCACGCCAUCCAAACUACUUUGGUGAGGUUAGUAUCUUAUCGAUUUACAGUUUGGUUUUGUAUGAAUUAGAAGAAGCUCCAAAAAAAAAAUAAAAAAAUUGAUGGGCGUGAUUAUGAAUUCAGAUGUUACUCUGGUGGGGCAUAUAUGUGGCUUCAUUGCCUGUGCUUAAAGGUGUCGAGUACCUUGUCAUAAUUGGACCAGUCUUUCUCACUUUGCUACUUUUCUUCGUUAGCGGCAUACCAUUACUCGAGGUUCUCUCUAUCUAUCCUCUCUCUUUCCACUCUGGCACAUUCUAAAUCACACAGCAGAAACAACAUUCUUGUUUUGUAUAAAUGUAGGAAUCUGCGGACAAAAAAUAUGGUAACUUGGGAGCUUAUCGACACUACAAGAAGACAACUAGGUAUGAUACAAAGCUCUUUGAACACUGUUAUUGGCCCUCGAGAUGUGUUAUAAAUGCUAAGUGUUUCCCUCUUUCAAUUGGAUAUUGGUUUACAGUCCUUUGAUUCUGUUACCACGAGGAGUGUAUGGGUACUUGCCAAAAUGGUGCAAAACAGUCUUUCUUUUUGAGUUUCCAUUGUAUAGCCGUAAUCUUCCUCAAGAGACUACAGCCUGGUGAGCCUCCUGUGUAUGAAUGAAUUUAUCAUUAUUUGGCUUCAAUCUCUUUGUAAAUCACACAAAGUCUUUGUUUAACUUAUGAAUUCUUUUUACGUGCAAGGGAUAGACGAAACUCGAAGAAGAGCCAGAGAAGUAUUGACUGAGGGAGCGAGAGAAAGAGAAAGAGAGUAGAUGGUUACUGUGUUUUUGCAAACCCAUCUCCUAGUUCUUCCUUCAUGAGCAAAUUCUCUUUUUGUACAGAUUCUCGUUUGUCUUUGAAUACUUGUGAAAAGUAAUUGAUACAUUGAUUGAGAAUACAAUAAGAUUCAAACCAAGCUUCAAAAAAUGUUGGAAGGAAAAUUACAUAUGAUUCAAAAGAAAAGUUCUCUAAGGAAUAAGCUAUUGAAGUGAACUGUUACUGAAGUUCUCUAAGGAAAUCACUGCACCUGAUCUAAGUUCACCUGAAGAAGAAGCAUCGGAAUGAGAGAGUAGGAUGUAUAAUACCCAUAGAUGAAGGCAAACCAGAUAGACCACAGCCCAGAUUUUGGCAAUAGGAUUUCUACGCAAGAAGACGGUUCCCGAGAUGAAUAUAGCGUUUAGUUGCAUCACUAGCCAUCCCAAAUGUUUCUUGCCUGACCGGAUUUUAUCUUGGAAAGCUGGUUUAAACUUUGAUCCCGACAGUUCCCAAUCUCCUGCUUCAAGAUCUUGGGAUGAGGCUUCAGUUGCAGACAUACCUUUGUUUUCUUCUAUAAGCCUUGAUACGGCCUGGCAAAGAAUCAAAAUUGGGUUGUGUGUAAGUGAAGAACAUAUUUUUGUUUUUGGAGCAGGACCUGCAGGUUGGUGGAAUUCAUCAAUGUACCUCGAUUCUAAACGAUAUGGUUGCUUUCUCUGAGGAAAGCGCUUCCACCUGGUAAAUUUGGCAAGAAAAUUUGGAAUUUAUUCUAACAAUUUUUUGUCUAAAUGUCUGUAUCUUAAAUGUUCAUAUACCUGGGAUUGUUUUUGAAUAAGAUGGUCAGUUAGCUGGUUAAGUCUUCGUUUCAGUUCAAUUUCCACUUCAGUUGGUUCUUCGAGUUCCUUUCUCAUCAUUUCUAUGUCUGCUUCCAGUUUAGUUGCCUGGAAUUUUAACAAGGAAUCAAGCAAAAAACAAAGGAAUGUGCCUUAAAUAUAAUCCUGAAGAACAGAAAAAAAAGCAUAAGUCAACCAGACAACUGUGUUAGCUAACCUUGUCUUGUAACCACCCAAUUUUAUCAGUCAGCAAAGAAAUCUCUGCUUCAAGCAUCUGGUGUUCGAAUAUGUCUCCUCUAGAAGUAUCUAACUACACAGCCCACAUAUAAGCAGCAUGAUUCUCAGACCAAGUAGACAAAGAUUUCCACAUUGAGAUUGAAGAAAAAGAAACAAAAAGAAAAGAAGGCCCAAGUCACCUGUUUUACAGUUGUUCCACUUCCCCCAAUAUUAGAAGUAUUUCGCGUCAGUUCUACAUGAUAAAGACAACUUCUUUAGCAAAAUAGAGAAGUGGUUAUCCUCAAAUGACUAUGAGCAGUAAAAAAAGUUAUUUGAAGUAGAAUAAACUUCCUAUAAGAGAGGUGUCUUUAUUACAUAUCAGUAACUGUAUAAUUUUUCAAACAAGGAACCUAUACCUUCCAGAGUAGACUCUUUAACCUCAACUUGUUGUCGGAGUACUGCUACCUGAUCUAUCUGGUCACAUCAGAAAGAAAAGAGAUUAGUACGCAAAUGCAGAUAUAGAAGUUGUUUGACUCAACAACAUUGAUUAGGUAUUGAUCAAAACAUCCUUGCCUCAGAAGAUCUACAUCUUUCAGUAAGAACAAUGGUCAUUAGCUUUUACCUUUAUUAUUCUUCGAUUCCAGCUAAUUCAAACAAACCAAGAAACAAAAUAAUUAGAUUAUGUAAUCUUUAUACCUGAGUCUCAAGUUUCUUCUGCCCAGCGGCAAGCGAUCUUGUAAGUUCAGCGUUUGCAGCCUAAAACAUUCAAUUUUUAUGUUUACAUCAAAAAACCAUAUCAUCUCGCUCCAAUAGAAGGUAAAUACUAAGAGCAAUUUGAACUGUCAGCAAACAAAUUACAAGAUUAAUACCUCUAAUCCGGCCAAGCGUGUGAGAACUUCCAUUCUUGUAUUGUUAUGCUUCUGCUUUUCAAGGUCAGCAGCUUCCAGUGUUUCCAUCAUGUUUGUUUGCAACUCUGCAGCCUAAACGAAAUAGAACAAACUCAGAAUCUGUAGCUCAUCUAGCUUGAGUAACACAAAUAUAAAAUCAUAUAAUGGGUGUUUGCAGCAGCUUCUACAACUUGGACAAAUUGCUACCUCUUGUGCUUGUUGUUUAGCUCGUUCUUCGACUAUUUUCUCUAAACUCAAUUUUUCACCCUCAAGUCUUGCUACCAUAUUCUCUCGCUCUUUGAUGACGGCUACAGCUUUUGUUGCAACUCUUUCAGCAAAAAUUCUCUCUCUUCUCCUCCUACGCUCCUCCCUCUGACGCUCCCUCUCAGAGUCAGUGCUCGAAUCAGACUCAUAAUCGGAUUCAGAUUCAUCAUUUGACAAGGAAGAAUCCUUCCUCUUUAGACCAUCAGAAAAAUUGCUCUGUGAGACUUCUUCCCUCACCUGCUUUCCCCAUACAGAACUUCUUCUGGACUCACGACCAUCCCUUUUUCCUACACUUGGUAAUGUUUCCUUAGGGAGAGUCUCAUUGGCCGAAUUUCUGGAUUCAUCCAGGGGAGGUGGCUUACCACUGACAUCCUUCUCACUCUCUUUAUGAGUUGAGUUCACAAAUAUAUCCCGAGGAGCAUUCCUACUUUCCAUGUCAGCAUCAGAAGGGCUAGACACGCUUGGUUCCUUAUUCGUCUGUUUUUGUGGCCUCCCUCUGGAAUCAACCACAUUACCACUACUACUCUUCUUUCCAUCAGAUACCAAAGGAUUUUUCCCCAAAUUCCCAUGUCUUUUUCCAUCCUUCUUCAAUCCCCGAUUCACAGAUGUUCCUCCGGGAGUACGAGGCUUAGAAGUACUGCUACCCUGAUUUGGAGUACUCAGAAGUUCUGUCCAGUCACUGUCAGUGAGUUUAGUUUUAUCUUGUGCCAAACUUUGUAAAGGUGAACUUGUUCUUUCUUGUGAUUGAUCUGGUUUGCGUAAUUUUUUGGUGCUACUUACGUAACUAGGCUUUUGCUCUGUUGAGUUUCUCUGAGAUCCACCGCCAGAAUCACUACCUUCAUGUGUCUUCUUCCUCAACUGAUCUUUCAACGAAACAGGGCUACUUCCAGAUUUAGGAGAAGUCUCAAACACCUCAUCAUGAGUCUCAGACUUGUCAUCUUUUCGAAGAGACUCUGCUGCCUGCUGAUCAAGCUGCAAAGCACAGUUUACAUAAUCCCCAAUUAGCAUAAAUUUUGUGGUACGAGCUCAAGUACAAAUUCGACAAGAACGCAAGACUCUGAAAUAGUAUAAGCAGAAAUCGGUGCAAUGCAAUGACCAGAUAGUGUUACAAUAGCAUUGCCAGACGAUAUAGAUUAGUCCAAGCAUGAAUCGCAUCAAUUUCAACACAAAAUCGUUCCACUGGACCGUUUUCCGGGAAACUAGGACAUCAAUCCGGUGAUCAACAGAGGAAUCAAAGCAAAUCAUCCAUAACAUGAGGAUCGAAAUUAAACUAGAACCCAACAAAUUCCAAAUCUAGUAAUUUACAUCCGUUUUCUAUGCAAACAAAAAAAAAGAGAUUCGAUAUCGCACCUGUUGAAGAAUCGUUUCGGCUGCUUUGAGCUUCGACGAGAUCCAAUUCGCCAUUUUGCUUCACAAAAGAGAUGGGACUAAAGACCCAUACGUCACCGUUUUAUCACCCAAAGUGGUUUCUGAAUUGCACUCGCAUCAGAGAAAAACGAAGAAGACGAAGAUGAAAUAAUGUUACAGUGACGUGUCGGUGACGUAGUUUAUUUAGCAAACGCCGAACGAGACUCCACAACUAACUCAGCCGAGUCCGGUUUUGUUUUCCGGUUUAAUAUUUCAUUUGUCUUUGGUUCGUUACAAAUUCAAUAAUCCAAACCAAGACUUGGAUAUAGUUACGAUUUGUGAUUUUUGUCAUUAUAUAGGAUUUACUUAAUACGAGAAAAAUAUAAGACAAAUCCAGGCCAAGCCAACAUGAUCAAUUUAUUUACUUGUAGCAACAAUUGGGCAAAGAAGUACUCAACGGUCGAGUGGCGGUAAAUUCAUGAAUAUUCACAAUCUCUUUACUGGGGGCAGGCCCGGCUCACUCAUCGGUAAGACCCGGUGCCAUACAAAAAAAAUCCUAUCUUUAAUAAAAAAUUUAUAUAUAUAUAUAUUUACAAAAAGUUAUAUUUCAUAAAUUAUUUUGUAUUUUAUACCUAUUUGGAUUUGUUAUUUUUGUUUAUUAAUUUUGGGCCUCAAUAUUACCUUUUAAAAUAGAAUUUUGGGACCUUUAUAUAUAGAUAUUUUAUAAAAUUUCAGCAUAAUUAAAUAGUUAAAUAAUAGAAAAACUAUGAAUUUGGACCUUAAAUUUGUUGGACCCGGUGCAAAUGCACCACUUGCACAUGCCAAUAACCGGCACUGCUGGGGGGAAUGACCGCACCGUUACUUUCGUUGUUACCGUCACCGUUGGGUCUAUUGUCUACCGCGGUCUUCUGAGUCAAAACCUCAUGUAUCCGUCCGAUCAUGCUUAGAAACGCUUCCUCAACAUUUUGGUUCUCUAAAGCUGAUGUUUCGAGAAAAUAGAGACCUUCUGAUUCGGCUAGUGUCUUACCCUCUUCUUCUUCAACUUCUCUAGACUGCCCGAGAUCGGAUUUGUUACCUACGAGAACAACGACGGUCUCAGGACUAGAGAAGCCUCUGAGCUCCGACAACCAUUUUCCAAUGUUUUUGAAAGUGAUUCGUCUUGUGAUGUCGUAGAUUAGUAAAGCUCCCAAGGCUCCACGGUAAUACGAACUCGUUAUUGCUCUAAAUCUUUUUUCCUCCCAUACAAAAAAACAAUAUUUAAGAUAAGUAAAAACACAUGCAUAAACUAUUAAAGAAUUAAGUAAGAUAAAAUUUAUCGAAAUAAAUAUAAUUUUAAUAAGAAAAAACAAAAAGAAGAAAAGGUCGCGACAUUUAACGAAGAUUAGGUCCGCGUGACAUCGAUUGCUUAUAUAUCAAGAUUUUCAUUAUUGUCUUCUGCGCGUGAUCUGGUUUUCCUAAUCAUCAUCCCAAUCAUAUAUUUCAUUAUUUAUUUCUGUUGUUUAUCUAACACAUUUCCAUUUAACAUUUACAUACAAAAAGAAAUGUCGAAAAUUUAACAAGUUUUACGUCUUGGUUAGUCUCGUCUACGUUAGAAAAUUAUACAAAAAAAAUCUUAUGAAUUAAAGGAUAUUUUUGUUCAUGGUCAAAUGAAAAAACAACAAAUGGAAGUGAACUCGAGAAUUUCAUUUAUAUUAGUCUUACGUUUAUGUUUUUCGUGCAAAAAUAUUAGUCUUACGUUAAAUAAUACAAAAUUUUUUAUGAUGAUCUUCAUCAUCAAGUCCGUUAAAUAGUUUCAUAUCCGAGGUUGAAUUCUGUUACCUUUCUUGGCCGGCGGUGUCCCAUAUCUGAGCCUUGAUAGUCUUAUCACCCACCCGAACAUUCCGGUAAGCAAAGUCUACUCCGAUGGUCGGUUUAGAGUCUAACCGAAACUCAUCCCUCGAGAAUCUCGACAAGAGGUUUGAUUUUCCGACGGCAGAGUCUCCUAUCAGCACCGCCUUGAAUAGGUAGUCGCACUCUUCGUCAUACGAUUCCUCCGCCAUGUUAUUUAUCUUGUCGGUUUGAUUAGGGUUUAUGUAAGUAAAUCUAAGAAAAAGGAAGAAAACUGACUAGAAGAAUCGAUCAAUGGUGGAAAUCUGAAGAAGAAAGGGUUUGUCUUAUGUAAUUAUAUACGAACCUCUCAAGAAAUUCUUUCCACUAAUUAAGUAUAUAUGGCUCUAUUUAUGUGAAAACAUGGAUAAUUAUACAUAUUAAUGUAAUAUGAUUGCGACAAGAUAUAUAACUAUAAUAAGUAUUGGGUGUGACUGGUAGGUGUUUUUAGAAGAAAAGAAAAAUGUAUAAAUUUUAUUCUUCUGAAUUCAUCUGUGUUUUCACCAGGUAGAAAAAAAGAAGAAGAAUUACUUUUCUACUGAAAAGUGAAAAAGCAGAGUAAAGUAGAAGAUUUUAUCCCUCUACAAAAUAGCUAAAGUAACGUUUUCUUCUGAAGUGCCAUUUUCUUCUCUCUUCAUUUCUUCUUUAAAAUUCUACUCAUUUCUUCUAUAGUUUUCACCAGUCAGACCUAUUGUUUUUUUUCUACUUUUUCUUGGAAGAGUUAAAUGAGGACGAAAUCAUUUUUGAGAAAAAGUAUAGAUAAAGAGCAGGACAAGGAUAAAAGAGGCGUGACAGAGAUUGUACAUAACACAAUCCAAGAGAUUUUUUUUUUUGUCAACGACGUCGUUAACUAAAAUAGUGUGCCUCUUAUUUAUCUUAACUCGUUGUUAUGUUACUAUAUGUCUAUAUAGCUUUAAAAGGAUGAAGUUGUGAUGUUUUGAUUGUCUAGGGAUCUCAAGUACUAAAGCUCAAUCAUGCAUGUUUCGCUGUAGUCUCUGUACGUUUAAGUUUUGACAUUUUACCAAACUCACUCACUGACUCACGUUAGGUUUGACUUGUAAAGAGUUGUAACACAAAUAAAAUGAAAAGAUGGCUAGUUGGGCCUAAGAUGGGCUUUAACAGGCCGGAUUUUUCACAAACAAGUCAAAGUUGUUUUCGUGAAGCCUUUGACCGAUUCCUUUACUCCAAAGAGGAAGAGUGGAAUACGACUCGUAGACGUCGACGUCUUUCUUUAAUGUACACCAUUGGAUCCCAUCUCAAUUUUUGCAAACUGGGUUCUCUUUUUCUUGAGGACUAGUUGCCUUAUUUAAUCACAUAUUGUUUCUUUAAAUGCUUACCACUUUCAUUUCUACAUCCGAAAAUAGCUUAAUUGGACAAGGAAACGAAUAUAUCAAUCUACGCGUCUAUCGAGCCCUUUAAUUCAGCAUUCAUUACGUUGCUUCGUAGUAGGAGCAUCAGAGUAUAUUAAUUCAAUGAAACCAGAUCAUCGGCUAAGAUUAUUAGCGUUGGUUCAUCACUAAAAACUCAAAUUCAAAAUUUAAAAGUUAUAAUGGUCCCCAAAAAAAAUAAUUUGAGUCACUUAUUUCUGUUCUAUCCGGGGAACGUCUCCAUUGACCAUUUUGGUUUGUUAAGCAAAAAGAGAUAGGAUUCUAAUUCUUCAACUUAGGUGGUGUUAUUCAAUGAUGGAUUUUAAUAGAAUUGAAAUCAAACACUAAUCCAGUGUUAUUCAACUAAUGAUUAUAAAUCUAAUGUUAAAAUCUGGUGUUAUUAGAUCUUAUACUUCAUUAGAUUUUAAAAGUUUGGUGUUAUUCAAUGGUGGAGUUAAAGUCAAUUCUUUAAGGUUUGUAAAAUCCAGUGUUAUUCAAAACUAAAAGACUUGUAAAAUCUUUGUAUAUUAAAUCAUUUCAAAUGAAACCUCUUUGGAGUUUCAUGAGUAAAUUAUUAAAAUCAAAAUCCAAGAUAUACUGCAUAGAUUUUGAAAUCCACACAAACAUAUUCUUAAAACCAAUAUCAGAAAACAAAUCUAAACCUUAAAGAAUUGACUUUAACUGCACCAUUGAAUAACAUCCAAUUAAGUUUAUAGUAAUCCAUCCAUAAUCAUGUCAUGUGCUUCAUUAAAAAAUCUACGGUUAAUUUGUCAUGCGUAAGCAGCAGAGACUCUGAUUUUGUUUCUAUGCCAAUAUAUAUUCGAAAAAUGCAGGGUAAGAAAUUAGAAACCAAAUUUGUUUGAAGAGCAACGAUAUAUCCAUAUUCAGAUCUAAAUCUCAACCAUGUAUGAAUGAAAAGAGAUCCGAUUGAAGUUAGACUGAUGAUGAUGAUUGAUCACAUUUAGAGAAAAGAAGACCUAAAAUCCAUAGUUAUUAUUCCCAAAUCCAGAUCUGGAAUCUGGGAAACCCCCUUAGGUCGAAGGAGCGGCGGAUCCAUUGCUGUUGAGGAGAGAAGACGACGUCAUCAUCUUCUGAAACUCUUCGAAAUUGACAUUCCCAUCGCCGUCGGCAUCCACAGGUCCGAUCAUACGAGUACAAUCUUCAACAGAGCAAGACAUCCCGAGACGGUUAAGAACCUGGUGAAGCUCAGCGGCGGAGAUCAGUCCGUUUUUGUCCUGAUCGUAUAGAUCGAAAGCGUCACGGAUCUCUGCGGCGGAGGAAGACGAGCGGCAGAGAGUUGAGAACUCGUCGAGGUUGAUGUAACCGUCGCGAUCUGUAUCGACUUCUUCCAGAACGCGGUUGAGUUCCGUCUCCGUGUAGGAAGUCCCCAUAGCCUUAAACACACCGCCGAGUUCGAGGACUGAGAUCUUGCCGUCACCGUUGGAGUCAAAC
Molecule: long non-coding RNA, 20200 nt
Filed under: Arabidopsis lyrata
Lineage: Eukaryota; Viridiplantae; Streptophyta; Magnoliopsida; Brassicales; Brassicaceae
Description: long non-coding RNA (ALYR_LNC003023)
Source: RNAcentral